This 684-nucleotide long non-coding RNA is filed under the name Mustela putorius furo (domestic ferret). Its description in RNAcentral is "lncRNA (ENSMPUG00000025484.1)". Lineage: Eukaryota; Metazoa; Chordata; Mammalia; Carnivora; Mustelidae. The record is from RNAcentral.
AUGCAGAGAGAAAGAAGCAACGGGCUCGUGGUCCCGACAAGUAACGGUAGAACUGAGCAUCCCAGCAGGCAGGCGCCACCCCAGAAUCCGUGCUCCCAUGCACGUGUCAGUCAGUCAACAGAACUACCCAUUUCAGGACUGGAUCCAGAACCGUCCGAGGCGCUCAGGUUCAUGGCCUGCUUUUCCACCUCCACAGCGCUGCUUCCGGCUAAGCUCUCAAGAGCCUCACCCGGAUUUGAAAGGGGCUCACGAUCAGUGACUAGGCCUACAGCGCUCCCUCUGACCCUACCACAGCCAGUAAUCUCCCAGAGACACCAAUCCAGCCACUCCCUGCCCCUCAUCCCAAAGAGAAGUUCAGCUCCUUGGAGCUAUAGACGGAAUGGCGGGACAUCACGGCGGACCUCCGGCAUCUCGACACCAGAGGCUACACGCGGUUAAUAAACAGAUCCAUCUUCCAAUAUUUAAGACUCCUGGCUACUCCCGGAAUGGUACACUUUGUCUCCUAUCAUCUUACUGUUGGUCUAGAAGGCAGGAUGUUAUGCCAUAAGGUCUCCUGCGCAUUGCAAAUGAACAGAUUUCAGGUAAGGAAGGGGUGUGAAUGCAGGAAGGAGAAAAAGAACUUUCCUCUACUUAAAUCUCAGUCUUUUUUUUUUUUAAGAUUUUAUUUAUUUAUUUGACAGAGAC